Molecule: ribosomal RNA, 568 nt
Filed under: uncultured bacterium
Lineage: Bacteria
Description: bacterial SSU rRNA
Rfam family: Bacterial small subunit ribosomal RNA
Source: RNAcentral
CCUACGAGAGGCAGCAGUGGGGAAUAUUGCACAAUGGGCGCAAGCCUGAUGCAGCGACGCCGCGUGGGGGAUGACGGCCUUCGGGUUGUAAACCUCUUUCAGCAGGGACGAAGGGUGACUGACGGUACCUGUAGAAGAAGCACCGGCCAACUACGUGCCAGCAGCCGCGGUAAUACGUAGGGUGCGAGCGUUGUCCGGAAUUACUGGGCGUAAAGAGCUCGUAGGUGGUUUGUCGCGUUGUCCGUGAAAACUCACAGCUUAACUGUGGGCGUGCGGGCGAUACGGGCAGACUGGAGUACUGCAGGGGAGACUGGAAUUCCUGGUGUAGCGGUGGAAUGCGCAGAUAUCAGGAGGAACACCGGUGGCGAAGGCGGGUCUCUGGGCAGUAACUGACGCUGAGGAGCGAAAGCGUGGGGAGCGAACAGGAUUAGAUACCCUGGUAGUCCACGCCGUAAACGGUGGGUACUAGGUGUGGGUUUCCUUCCUUGGGAUCCGUGCCGUAGCUAACGCAUUAAGUACCCCGCCUGGGGAGUACGGCCGCAAGGCUAAAACUCAAAUGAAUUGACGG